Molecule: ribosomal RNA, 537 nt
Filed under: Triticum aestivum (bread wheat)
Lineage: Eukaryota; Viridiplantae; Streptophyta; Magnoliopsida; Poales; Poaceae
Description: partial small subunit ribosomal RNA
Source: RNAcentral
AUGUUGCGUUACAGGAUCCCCCUCUUCGCGGAAGAUGCCAGUAUUUUUGCAAACACGGACAAGGACGAAUUGCGCGCGAUCUCUGCUAUCCUCGCGGCGUUUAGUGAGGCUAGGGGCCUUGUCACCAACCUGGCAAAAUCUGAGGUCUUCCCCAUCCGCUGCAACGACAUUGACCUCGUGGACAUCCUGUCGACCUUCCCGGCCAGGGUCGCGGCUUUCGCGGGCCGCUAUCUGGGGUUUCCUCUCUUCCUCUUCACUUCCAUCAACUUCGCAAGGCCAACCUUCAGCCACUCAUUGACAAAAUCGCUGGAAGACUUCCGGGACGGAAGGGGAAAAUCCUUAAGAAGCCCGGAAGGGUGGCUCUGGCCAAAUCGUCCUCACCGCCACUGCCACCUUCCACCUCACCGCUCUUCCCUUCCCGAAAUGGCUGUGGAACAAGAUCAACAAGAUUACCAGGGGAUUCUUUGGGCUAAAGAUGACCAAGAGCAGGCAUCUGGGGGCACUCGCUGGUUAACUGGAAAACCGUGUGCCACCUGA